Molecule: ribosomal RNA, 395 nt
Filed under: uncultured Strobilidiidae
Lineage: Eukaryota; Ciliophora; Spirotrichea; Choreotrichida; Strobilidiidae
Description: partial small subunit ribosomal RNA
Rfam family: Eukaryotic small subunit ribosomal RNA
Source: RNAcentral
GCUUGUCUCAAAGAUUAAGCCAUGCAUGUCUAAGUAUAAGCACUAUACAGUGAAACUGCGAAUGGCUCAUUAUAUCAGUUAUAGUUUAUUUGAUAGUCCCCACUACUUGGAUAACCGUAGUAAUUCUAGAGCUAAUACAUGCUGUAAAGCCCGACUUCUCGGAAGGGCCGUAUUUAUUAGAUAACAGACCAGCAGCUUCGGCUAUUGUGGUGAAUCAUAGUAACUAAUCGGAUCGCAUGGGCUAGUCCCGCGACAAACCAUUCAAGUUUCUGCCCCAUCAGCUUUCGACGGUAGUGUAUUGGACUACCGUGGCUUUUACGGGUAACGGAGGAUUAGGGUUCGAUUCCGGAGAGGGAGCCUGAGAAACGGCUACCACAUCUAAGGAAGGCAGCAGG